CUCCCACUAAUUUAAAUUUAAAACUAUACAAUCACCACCAUUGUCUACGUUCACACAAAAAAUAUCACUAUUUUUACGAACUGAAGAACACAACAAAGAACUAUAGCAACUGGAAUGGCCAUCAUUUUCUAAUCUAACGGUUCCAGAAACACUACACUUACCACUGCUACUUUUGAAAUCAUAACAAUUAACUGAUGAAAUCGAUCUACCAAGAACAUGGGAGAGACCCAUUUGACGAAAAAGCCGGAGUCUACGCUCUUGAAUAGAUCAAGGUUCAGAGAUCCAAACAUCAUAGUUAUUUGAAACACCCAUUGCACAAUUAAAAAUACAAUCUCUAUCUUUGUCUCCUUCUCCUUCGUCUUCAGAGAGCGAGGACGAAGAGGAACAAGAAGCGUUUGCAAAAGAAAGCAAACGAUCAAGAGAGUCGUAAAAACACUCUUUCUUUUCUUCUUCUACUUCUUUUUCUUUGCUCAUUCUUCUCCUCCAAAUGGAGGCAUUCCCAUAAAAAUGCCCCCAAAAUCACCUCAAUUUAGCUCAACAAUAACUCUAAAUAGCCAAAUCUUGAACAAUGGUGUAUAGUUGUAAAUAAUGAUGGGAUGGG
This 601-nucleotide long non-coding RNA is filed under the name Capsicum annuum. Its description in RNAcentral is "long non-coding RNA (CANN_LNC012324)". The record is from RNAcentral. Lineage: Eukaryota; Viridiplantae; Streptophyta; Magnoliopsida; Solanales; Solanaceae.